RNAcentral lists this long non-coding RNA (537 nucleotides) under Elaeis guineensis (African oil palm). RNAcentral describes it as "long non-coding RNA (EGUI_LNC009489)". Lineage: Eukaryota; Viridiplantae; Streptophyta; Magnoliopsida; Arecales; Arecaceae. The record is from RNAcentral.
CUAUUGAAGAUCCACUUAUACUCUAUGAAUUUUACCCCUUCGAGUGGAUCAACGAGUGUCCAUACACCAUUGACCUUUAUGGACUCAAUUUCGGAUUUUAUGGCUCCAAGCCACUAAUCGGAGUCAGAUCUCUACAUGACAUCCAUGUAGGUGAUCAGAUCCUUCUUGUUCUCAUCGAGUUCAAUAGAAUCACAUCCCAAACUUAGACAUCGAAGUAUCCAUCCGGUGGACGUGGUAUUCUACCGGAUCUCCUUAAUAGUGCCUCUUCAAUGGAUUCCAGAUAUGAUCUAAUCAAAUUCAGUUCUAUGGAUUCACUAGAUUGUGUCGAUUCUUCUAUCUGUCGAACUUCACAAGUUUCACAUUAAAGGCAUCAGUUCCUUCACCAAGAUACUAUUUUUCUAAAAAGAAUGCUGAACAACUUUUAUUUUUUAGCAUGAUAGAAGUUAUACCCCUUAGAUUCUUUAGAGUUAUCUUUCAAAAUAAUACAUAUAGGAUCAGGAUCCAAGCUAAUCUAUCUGCAAUUGCUUGACAUAAACC